Molecule: long non-coding RNA, 1199 nt
Filed under: Sus scrofa (pig)
Lineage: Eukaryota; Metazoa; Chordata; Mammalia; Artiodactyla; Suidae
Description: lncRNA (ENSSSCG00015049857.1)
Source: RNAcentral
GGAAGUGUUUAUUCUCAGACUGCUUCUGACAACUAUGGUCCUGCAGGACAAGUCUUAUUUGAAGGGUUUUAUGAGAAAAUCCCGGCUAAGAGACUUGGAGUUCCUGAGGAGAUCUCCCCCUUGGUGUGCUUCCUGCUAUCUCCGGCAGCUUCGUUUAUCACUGGACAGGUGGUGGAUGUGGAUGGAGGCCAAUCUCUGAAUCUGCAAGGCUUUGAGAUAGCAGAUCAUGACAACUGGCCUGAAGGAGCGGGGGACCUUUCAGUUGUCAAAAGGAUGAAGGAGUCUUACAAGAAGAGAGCCAAGCUCUAAGCUAAGGAAACAUGGAAGUGUCCUUUGUCCCCAAGUGCCUUAACAUCUUGAGCAUGUACUUCUGUACUUUAUGGGAACUUAAUUUGCUUUUUUAAUAUUAUCAAUUACAACUAUGCAAAAACUCUUGCUAAAAUAAAUGCAUUUUCUUUUGGCCACGCCUGUGGCAUGUGGACGUUCCCCAGGCCAGGGAACAAAACUGUGCCACAGCAGUGACCCGAGCCACUAUAGUGACAAUGCUGGGAUCCUUAACCCACCUUGCCACAAGAGGAUCAAUAAAUGCAUUUUUAAGUCCCAACCAAUGCCCUUCAACUUGUGAUCAGAAACAUUUUUGAUGAAUGGGAGUUCCUGACGUAGUUCAGUGGUUGAUGAACCCGACUAAUAUCCAUGAGGAUGUGGGUUCAAUCUCUGGUUCUGCUCAGUGGGUUAAGAAUCCAGCAUUGCCAUGAACUGUGGUGUAAGUUGCAGAUGUGGCUCGUAUCUGGCGUUGCUGUGGCUGUAGGUCAGCAGCUACAGCUCUUGUUCGAUCCCUAGCCUGGGAACCUCCACAUGAUGUGGGUGCGGCCCCACCAAAAAAAAAUUUUAGCAAUAGAAAUCAACAUGCGUUGUGCUUUUUUUAAUUCUAAGAAAGGUAUUUGAAAAGUGAAAUAAUUUCAAAUUAAUGACAGAGGUACCAUCAUCUCCCAAAAGAUUUGAAUAUUUAAUUAUAAAGGUAGGCAAUAAAUCUAUUGUGGCAUCAUUUGAUUUUUACAGCAGAAAUAUACCAUGACUCACUGGUGGCACUUUUGGAUUAAUAAAACUGUAUGUGAUAAUUGAGGUAUGAUUUGUUCACGAAGUCAAAUCUGUGUAAGUCCUCUUAACUGAAAAGAAAAAUAAAGUCCUAAGGAGUACUU